Molecule: ribosomal RNA, 301 nt
Filed under: uncultured bacterium
Lineage: Bacteria
Description: partial 16S ribosomal RNA
Rfam family: Bacterial small subunit ribosomal RNA
Source: RNAcentral
CAGCAGCCGCGGUAAUACAGAGGGUGCGAGCGUUAAUCGGAUUUACUGGGCGUAAAGCGUGCGUAGGCGGCUUCUUAAGUCGGAUGUGAAAUCCCUGAGCUUAACUUAGGAAUUGCAUUCGAUACUGGGAAGCUAGAGUAUGGGAGAGGAUGGUAGAAUUCCAGGUGUAGCGGUGAAAUGCGUAGAGAUCUGGAGGAAUACCGAUGGCGAAGGCAGCCAUCUGGCCUAAUACUGACGCUGAGGUACGAAAGCAUGGGGAGCAAACAGGAUUAGAGACCCGUGUAGUCCCUGUCUCUUAUAA